GAAAGAGGAGAAGAGCGAACGGAGGAUGCCUAGGCUAUCCGGAGGCGAAGAAGGACGCGGUAAGCUGCGAAAAUGUACGGGGAGUCGCAAACAGACAUUGAUCCGUAUGUGUCCGAAUGGGGCAACCCGGCAGGCUGAAGGCCUGUCACCAUGGAUAACAUGGGGCGAACGCGGGGAACUGAAACAUCUCAGUACCCGCAGGAAGAGAAAGAAACAUCGAUAUCCUGAGUAGAGGCGAUCGAAAGGGGCAGAGCCUAAACCGUGCAGUUUACGGACUGUGCGGGGUUGUAGGAGCGUCCAAAGGAAUACAUCAAGGAACGCGAAGCAGAUGGAAAGCUGCCGCAUAGAGGGUGACACGCCCGUAGCGGUAACGAGGAUGUAUCAGGGACGCCACCUGAGUAGGGCGGGGCACGAGGAAUCCUGUCCGAAUCCGCGGGGACCAUCCCGCAAGGCUAAACACUUCCGGAAGACCGAUAGUGGACCAGUACCGUGAGGGAAAGGUGGGAAGCACCCCGAACAGGGGAGUGAAAGAGAACCUGAAACCGUUCGUUUACAAGCGGUCGGAGCGCGUGAGCGCGACGGCGUGCCUUUUGCAUAAUGAGCCUACGAGUUGCUUCUUCCCGGCGAGGCUAAGCGCCUGAGGCGCGGAGCCGGAGCGAGAGCGAGUCUGAACAGGGCGUUCAGUCGGGAGGAGCAGACGCGAAACCUAGUGAUCUACCCUUGUCCAGGGUGAAGUGGCCGUAACAGGCCAUGGAGGCCCGAACCAGUUUCCGUUGAAAAGGGCUUGGAUGAGAUGAGGGUAGGAGUGAAAGGCCAAUCAAACUGGGAGAUAGCUCGUACUCCCCGAAAUGUCUUUAGGGACAGCCUCGACGGUGUGUAAGUGAGGUAGAGAUACUGAUAGGACGAGGGGGCUUCGCCGCCUGCCGAGUCCUGCCAAACUCCGAAUGCGCUUACAUUAGACGUCGGGAGUGAGUCGGCGGGUGCUAAUAUCCGUCGGCGAGAGGGUAAGAGCCCAGACCUCCGGCCAAGGCCCCCAAGCGCAGUUUAAGUUGAGAGAGAACAAGGUGACACCGCAUAGACAGCUAGGAUGUUAGCUUGGAAGCAGCUAUUCAUUCAAAGAGUGCGUAACAGCUCACUAGUCGAGCGGUGACGCGUGGAUGAUGACCGGGCAUCAAGACUGCCGCCGAAGCCGAGGACGCAUCGCGAGAUGCGUGGUAGGGGAGCAUUGAAACCAGCGGAGAAGGUGGCGCGGCGAGCGCCGCUGGAGCGGUUUGAAAAGAAAAUGUAGGCAUGAGUAACGACAAGGGGAAUGGAAAUUCCCCCGCCGACAACCCAAGGGUUCCUGAACAACGCUAAACGUAUCAGGGUAAGCCGGGAGCUAAGUCGAAGCCGACAGGCGCAGACGAUGCCCAAGCGGUAAAGAUUCCGCUGCCGGCCAUACGGGUCAAUAUGAGACCGAGGAGUGAUGUGUCCGCCACCUGACGGAAUAGGUGGUUGAACCGGGGUAGGGAGACCGAGCCGGGACAGUACGGGGAGUCCACGGACGACCCGACAGCGAUGCAGAAGCAUACUUGCGAGAAAAUCAUAUUGGCGUCAAGAGUAUGGCCGCCCGUACCGUAAACCGACACAGGUGGGUGAGGAGAGAAUCCUAAGGCGCUCGAGUGAAUCACAGCUAAGGAACUAGGCAAAUUGACCCCGUAACUUCGGGAGAAGGGGACCCACAGCGAUGUGGGCGCAGAGAAAUGGCCCAGGCGACUGUUUACCAAAAACACAUGGCUAUGCGAAAUCGUUAAGAUGACGAAUAUGGCCUGACACCUGCCCGGUGCCGGAAGGUUAAGAGGGGGAGUCACCGCAAGGGAAGCUCUGAAUCGAAGCCCCGGUAAACGGCGGCCGUAACUAUAACGGUCCUAAGGUAGCGAAAUUCCUUGUCGGGU
This 1934-nucleotide ribosomal RNA is filed under the name human gut metagenome. RNAcentral describes it as "bacterial LSU rRNA". It matches the Rfam family "Bacterial large subunit ribosomal RNA", at positions 1 to 1977 of the family's 2925-position model. The record is from RNAcentral.